This 810-nucleotide ribosomal RNA is filed under the name uncultured bacterium. RNAcentral describes it as "bacterial SSU rRNA". It matches the Rfam family "Bacterial small subunit ribosomal RNA", at positions 8 to 807 of the family's 1533-position model. The record is from RNAcentral.
AGAGUUUGAUCCUGGCUCAGAUUGAACGCUGGCGGCAGGCCUAACACAUGCAAGUCGAACGGUAACAGGAAGAAGCUUGCUUCUUUGCUGACGAGUGGCGGACGGGUGAGUAAUGUCUGGGAAACUGCCUGAUGGAGGGGGAUAACUACUGGAAACGGUAGCUAAUACCGCAUAACGUCGCAAGACCAAAGAGGGGGACCUUCGGGCCUCUUGCCAUCGGAUGUGCCCAGAUGGGAUUAGCUAGUAGGUGGGGUAACGGCUCACCUAGGCGACGAUCCCUAGCUGGUCUGAGAGGAUGACCAGCCACACUGGAACUGAGACACGGUCCAGACUCCUACGGGAGGCAGCAGUGGGGAAUAUUGCACAAUGGGCGCAAGCCUGAUGCAGCCAUGCCGCGUGUAUGAAGAAGGCCUUCGGGUUGUAAAGUACUUUCAGCGGGGAGGAAGGGAGUAAAGUUAAUACCUUUGCUCAUUGACGUUACCCGCAGAAGAAGCACCGGCUAACUCCGUGCCAGCAGCCGCGGUAAUACGGAGGGUGCAAGCGUUAAUCGGAAUUACUGGGCGUAAAGCGCACGCAGGCGGUUUGUUAAGUCAGAUGUGAAAUCCCCGGGCUCAACCUGGGAACUGCAUCUGAUACUGGCAAGCUUGAGUCUCAUAGAGGGGGGUAGAAUUCCAGGUGUAGCGGUGAAAUGCGUAGAGAUCUGGAGGAAUACCGGUGGCGAAGGCGGCCCCCUGGACGAAGACUGACGCUCAGGUCCGAAAGCGUGGGGAGCAAACAAGGGUAGAUACCCUGGUAGUCCACGCCGUAAAC